Molecule: non-coding RNA, 95 nt
Filed under: uncultured Dialister sp.
Lineage: Bacteria; Bacillati; Bacillota; Negativicutes; Veillonellales; Veillonellaceae
Description: Glycine riboswitch
Rfam family: Glycine riboswitch aptamer
About the family: This family represents the bacterial glycine riboswitch. Glycine riboswitches usually consist of two metabolite-binding aptamers domains with similar structures in tandem.
Source: RNAcentral
ACACGACUCUGGAGAGUCCCAUUGAUUUGGGCGCCGAAGGGGCAACGAUGGUUUCCCGUAACCAUCUAAUCUCUCAGGCAAAAGGACAGGGCUGG